GGACUACCCGGGUUUCUAAUCCUGUUCGCUCCCCACGCUUUCGCGUCUCAGCGUCAGUACCGUACUAGAGAGCCGCCUUAGCCACGGGUGUUCUUCCUGAUAUCUGCGCAUUUCACCGCUACACCAGGAAUUCCACUCUCCUCUUCCGGACUCUAGCCAAACGGUUUCCACCGGCGUCUCGAGGUUGAGCCUCGAGUUUUCACAGCAGACCUGUCUGGCCGCCUACACGCUCUUUACGCCCAAUAAAUCCGGACAACGCUUGCCCCCUACGUAUUACCGCGGCGGCUGGCAC
RNAcentral lists this ribosomal RNA (292 nucleotides) under uncultured bacterium. RNAcentral describes it as "partial 16S ribosomal RNA". The record is from RNAcentral.